RNAcentral lists this ribosomal RNA (402 nucleotides) under uncultured Shinella sp. RNAcentral describes it as "bacterial SSU rRNA". It matches the Rfam family "Bacterial small subunit ribosomal RNA", at positions 355 to 774 of the family's 1533-position model. The record is from RNAcentral. Lineage: Bacteria; Pseudomonadati; Pseudomonadota; Alphaproteobacteria; Hyphomicrobiales; Rhizobiaceae.
UGGGGAAUAUUGGACAAUGGGCGCAAGCCUGAUCCAGCCAUGCCGCGUGAGUGAUGAAGGCCCUAGGGUUGUAAAGCUCUUUCACCGGUGAAGAUAAUGACGGUAACCGGAGAAGAAGCCCCGGCUAACUUCGUGCCAGCAGCCGCGGUAAUACGAAGGGGGCUAGCGUUGUUCGGAAUUACUGGGCGUAAAGCGCACGUAGGCGGAUAUUUAAGUCAGGGGUGAAAUCCCGCAGCUCAACUGCGGAACUGCCUUUGAUACUGGGUAUCUGGAGUAUGGAAGAGGUAAGUGGAAUUCCGAGUGUAGAGGUGAAAUUCGUAGAUAUUCGGAGGAACACCAGUGGCGAAGGCGGCUUACUGGUCCAUUACUGACGCUGAGGUGCGAAAGCGUGGGGAGCAAACA